Molecule: small nucleolar RNA, 129 nt
Organism: Phyllostomus discolor (pale spear-nosed bat)
Lineage: Eukaryota; Metazoa; Chordata; Mammalia; Chiroptera; Phyllostomidae
Product: small nucleolar RNA SNORA51
Exons: 1
Source: RefSeq, a predicted model, not a curated record
GGCCUCCCAGUGCUUACCACAGGCUGUGUUCUUACACUGCCUGCAGAAAGAGGAGGCAGAGUAAACCCACCCCUGUGCACCUCAACCCAGGCCCUUUGCCUGGUCUGUAUUGUGAAUGGGGGGGGGGGG